AGAGUUUGAUCAUGGCUCAGGAUGAACGCUGGCGGCAUGCCUAAUACAUGCAAGUCGAAUGGAAGAGCUUGCUUUUCCAUGGCGAACGGGUGAGUAACACGUAGGUAACCUACCUUAAGGACGAGGAUAACCUUUGGAAACGAAGGAUAAUACUGGAUAGGACAUUAUAAAGCACAUGCUUAAAUGUUUAAAGGAGCAAUCCACCAUAAGAGGGGCCUGCGGCGCAUUAGCUAGUUGGUGAGAUAAAGGCCCACCAAGGCGAUGAUGCGUAGCUGGACUGAGAGGUUGAACAGCCACAAUGGGACUGAGAACGGCCCAUACUCCUACGGGAGGCAGCAGUAGGGAAUUUUCGGCAAUGGGCAAAAGCCUGACCGAGCAAUGCCGCGUGAUCGAAGAAGUAUUUCGGUAUGUAAAGAUCUUUUAUCAGGGAAGAAAAAACAAAUUGACUGAACCUGAUGAAUAAGCUCCGGCUAACUACGUGCCAGCAGCCGCGGUAAUACGUAGGGAGCGAGCGUUAUCCGGAAUUAUUGGGCGUAAAGGGUGCGUAGACGGCAAUAAAAGUUUCUUGUUAAAUAUCUUGGCUCAACCAAGUAGUGCAAGGGAUACUGUAUAGCUAGAGUAUAGAAGAGGUAAGUGGAACUCCAUGUGUAGCGGUAAAAUGCGUAAAUAUAUGGAAGAACACCAGUGGCGAAAGCGGCUUACUAGUCUGAUACUGACGUUGAGGCACGAAAGCGUGGGGAGCAAACAGGAUUAGAUACCCUGGUAGUCCACGCCCUAAACGAUGAGUACUAAGUGUUGGAGCAAUUCAGCGCUGAAGUUAACGCAUUAAGUACUCCGCCUGAGUAGUACGUACGCAAGUAUGAAACUUAAAGGAAUUGACGGGAGCCCGCACAAGCGGUGGAGCAUGUUGUUUAAUUCGACGAUACGCGAAGAACCUUACCAGGUCUUGACAUCUUGGUGUUAGCUAUAGAGAUAUAGUGAGAUUGCCAAAGACAGGUGGUGCAUGGUUGUCGUCAGCUCGUGUCGUGAGAUGUUGGGUUAAGUCCCGCAACGAGCGCAACCCUUAUUGCUAGUUACCAUCAUUAAGUUGGGGACUCUAGCGAGACUGCCAGUGAUAAAUUGGAGGAAGGUGGGGAUGACGUCAAAUCAUCAUGCCCUUUAUGACCUGGGCUACAAACGUGCUACAAUGGCUGAAACAAAGAGAAGCGAAGCAGUGAUGUGGAGCGAACCUCAAAAAAGCAGUCUCAGUUCGGAUUGAAGUCUGCAACUCGACUUCAUGAAGUUGGAAUCGCUAGUAAUCGCGAAUCAGAAUGUCGCGGUGAAUACGUUCUCGGGCUUUGUACACACCGCCCGUCAAACCAUGAGAGUUUGUAAUACCCGAAGCCGGUGGCAUAACCGCAAGGAAUGAGCCGUCUAAGGUAGGACAGAUGAUUGGGGUUAAGUCGUAACAAGGUAACC
This 1458-nucleotide ribosomal RNA is filed under the name uncultured rumen bacterium. RNAcentral's name for it is "bacterial SSU rRNA". It matches the Rfam family "Bacterial small subunit ribosomal RNA". The record is from RNAcentral.